RNAcentral lists this RNase P RNA (407 nucleotides) under Gemmobacter fulvus. RNAcentral's name for it is "Bacterial RNase P class A". It matches the Rfam family "Bacterial RNase P class A". Rfam says of the family: Ribonuclease P (RNase P) is a ubiquitous endoribonuclease, found in archaea, bacteria and eukarya as well as chloroplasts and mitochondria. Its best characterised activity is the generation of mature 5'-ends of tRNAs by cleaving the 5'-leader elements of precursor-tRNAs. Lineage: Bacteria; Pseudomonadati; Pseudomonadota; Alphaproteobacteria; Rhodobacterales; Paracoccaceae. The record is from Rfam by way of RNAcentral.
GCGGAUGGCUGGAUGACCGCGUGGGGGGCGACCCCUGCGAGGAAAGUCCGGACUCCAUGAAGGAAGGGUGCCGGGUAACGCCCGGCGGGGGCAACCCCAGGGAAAGCGCCACAGAGAAGAGUCUGCCAUCGGUCACACGAUGGUCAGGGUGAAACGGUGGGGUAAGAGCCCACCGCGGACUUGGCAACAAGGACGGCACGGCAAGCCCCACCCGGAGCAAUGCCGAAUAGGGGCCUCGCGUGGAAAGGUUCGCUGCCAUCUGGCGCGGAGACCUCCACAGGGACACUUCAGCCUGAGAAGGCCCGGGUUGGCAGCUAGACCCCGUCGGUAACGGCGGGGGCAGAGGAAUGGUCAUCCAGAGGGGGCAACCCCUUGGACAGAAUCCGGCUUACAGGCCAUCCGCGCAA